GGGGGCGAAAUGGCUUCGACGGGGAUAAAGAAACGUAUGUUGCAUAUCGAGCUUCCUGUCUGCUCGUUAAACGACUGGAAACUUAAAUAUAAUCGCAGAUGAUUAUAACUACGCAGUAGCGGCAUAGCUACCGUCCUUUCAGACUACUCCCGCGGGUUUGAUAUGGACGACGCAGCGGGAUAGCAUUAGUUAUAUUUCCGACGUAACUAAUGCAAAAUAAAGCCGGAAUAGCUUUUUAAAUAUCGGGUCCGAAGGAGAUUUGAAAAGCAAAAUAUAAAAUUCGGACUAAAUAUGUAGAUGCAUACGCGGAAUGUUUUCGGACGCGGGUUCAAUUCCCGCCGCCUCCACCA
RNAcentral lists this transfer-messenger RNA (350 nucleotides) under Desulfobacterales. RNAcentral's name for it is "JAFDMD01 sp019306185 Standard tmRNA". It matches the Rfam family "transfer-messenger RNA". From Rfam's summary of the family: Bacterial tmRNA, also known as 10Sa RNA or SsrA, is named for its dual tRNA and mRNA-like properties. RNAcentral also lists the same sequence under 1 other name. The record is from RNAcentral. Lineage: Bacteria; Pseudomonadati; Thermodesulfobacteriota; Desulfobacteria.